UAAUUAAUUGCGAACCGUGUCUCGGGAGCGUUAGAGAUGGAGACUAACGUCUUCCAAGGGAGAUUGCGUCUUCACUUUCACCCUGGUACUGAGAGGCACAAAAUUGGAACGCAGUCGCGGGGUAUAUCCCCCUGAAAACCGUACGUUGCCAAAUAAUGAUUUCUUUGGAUUAGAGAACUACAACUCCCCUGGGUCCUGAGCCGGUAUUUCCCUCUUGCGGCUGCACCGUAGUUAAAAACAAAGCUACGUGUUCUGGGACGUAUAGUUCUAGCGUUCCUUGGGUCCCGCUGGCGAGCGUGGGCUUUCUGCAGCUGGCAACCGGCCUCGUGCUUUGCGGACGGUUCACUGCGCUUGGAAAGGGAUUGGCCUGGGGUACAUCAUCUAAAGAUCCUAGGAUUGCUGCAGGUCAGCAGUCUCCACUGGAAAAAAAGAUCUUGCAUGUAUUUCAAGUCCUCUGAUGAAUUAUGUGAUCUACUAGACCCUGAAGAUACAGUGAAGAGCAAAAGAACACGGAUGAAAUGAGAAACAAAAAUGAUGGAGAAAACCAAAAAAGGGGACACAUGGGAUCCAGGCAAUAGGAGAGCCAGCAUAAGAGAGAGGCAGAGGGAUGCCCAGGAUGAGGUGAAGACAAUCUUGGAAAUCAGCCCAGAUGUGCAUGCACCAGUCCACGUGUGGCAGGACCAAGGGAAGUGUCUUCACAAAGAUGAGGCUUUGAUUUGUUGGAGAAACUGUUACCAGAAAAACAGGUCCCGAUCCCGACCCCAAAAGAGUAUUCUUGGAUCUUGCACAGGAAGGAAUUAAAGGAAGUCAUAGUUUCUCAUAACCUUUGCUAGUGAUCCUGGACCUUGGUUGUUCCCUGAGGCUGUGUUCUCCACACUGCUGCCAUCAUGCUACAGCAGAGGUGCAGAAAGCUCAGGAGAGAGAAGGGAGGAAAAGCUGAAGAUUUUGUGUUAUUCAUGCUUUCCUGACUCCGGUGAAAGUGCUUCCUCCACCUGCAACCAUUUCUGUUUCUAUACUGCUGAGUCUUGUGUUCCCAAGACCAAGGGAAGCCCAUUUUCUUUAAAGCCAGUCACAGUUUCUGUUGGCUGAUGGAAUAUCUGUUGUCCAGCAGUUGUAUUCCUGCUCACAAAUGCAAAACAGUUUGAUGCCACGCACAUUCCAGGGCUUAGACUGGAAAUGCUGUCCCUUGCCCCUUUGUUACCUUCUGACAGGGAUCAGUCCAUAGUGUAGUUGGUGUCACAACAGUCCCAAAGAAGCCUUCCAAUAGAUACCCAAAUGUGAUUCAAAGCGGCACAGGCACACACCACGGUGCCACAUGGUGCCUAUGUAAAGCAGGUAUAUCAGGAAUGCUAAGCAGAGAAGUAGCAGAACACACUGAUCCCCAUGUUCUCAUUGUACAGUUGGGUGCAAUUAAGCUGGCACAAUGGACUCUUCUCAUGGCUACUGUUCCAGUAGUGUGGAUGCCCCCAAAUGCUGCAUAUUUACUAGGACAGCCAGGCAGAGACAGCUGUGUACUAUGAUACAACAGUAGUCCCUCUUAGAGGAAGUGACCUUGUUAGAAGUGGGAGUUUCUGAAGCUCUUCAGCUGUUACUGGCCUGCUCUUCCAUAGCGUUACUUCAGACCUGCUGGCCCAGCUAUCCACUCCACUAACAGGUCUGUCUCUGCUAACAGGUCUAGCUCUGUCUCCUCAGCACAUGUUCUAGGCUCUGACUGCAAGUGCUGACUUGGGCUCCCAGCCCCACACAGACCCUCUGUUCCAUGAAAGGGCCAUCUAUGCAAAGUGCCCCCCAAAUGCCAAAGGAGCCAAUAAACCAAGGAACAAGACAGACAAAUCUAGUUUGUCAGUAAAGAGUGUUUUAUUGGGGAACUUACAGACAGAAGCGUGGUCUUGGAUGGCAGCAAGACAGGUAGGUUUCUGCACUUAUUACCCCCACACCCAGGGCUUAUAUACCACAGGGAAAGAGUAUACAUGCUCUGUGCAAGACAAAGGCUACUACUUUCCAGAACAGGUAAGAAUGCUAAUGUGUCAUAGCCUAGAAUUUGUAUAACAUCAAGGUUGACAUGUUCUUACAAUAGGGAUGGUAAAUAAAGUAGGAAUCAGGAGUCAGUCCUGGGACUGGGGCUAAUCAGAAGUCAGCAAAGAGAAUUAGCAUCCAAGAGGGAGUCACUUUUCUCUCCACAUCCCAGCCCUCUAAUCCAGCUCUUACAAUCUCAUGGACUCACAUUUCCCCCAUAGUCCCUGAGCCUUCAGAGGGGGCUGUGGGUGACAUUUUGAUGGUGUGAGUGACACAUUUUAUCAAUUUGUUUUCUACUUGUUAAGCAGGGGCCACAGCAACAACACAAACAACAGGCGAUGAUAUGUAUGCCAGGUGUAAGACACAGAAUUAAAAAUGCCCUUUACCAUGUUUAUUCAGGAACCAAACCAAGAGAUAUAGAGCAGAACAGCAAUAGGAACAGAAGACUAUGGGUGGAAUUAAAAAUGUUUAAUAGGUAUUUGGUGGGGCAGUUCUUCCCCAUUAAACAGAAUGACUGGUAGCUCCAUCUCUGUUGAUUAGGAACAUAGGAUUGUGGGCUGGGAGUACACACCAAACAUGUUGCCUGAGGGGCAAAGGCGCUGGUAUUUUGUGUAAGGUUACAGGGGCAGCAAAGGACCAUGUCAAAUGGCCAGCCAGGGUGCUUCUUAAAAGGGGCUGUGUUCCAGUUUAUUGGUACGUGGAGUGUUUUGGCCCAGACUUCAGCAGGAUCAAUGGAGACCACUUUAGUUGGUAGGGUAUUCCUUGCUGUCUGGAAAGAAAUGCUCUAUCCAACAUAGGGGAAGUUGCUAGUCCAACCCCCAUUCAAGUGUCUCCUCCCUGGCUCAAGAUCUUGAGGAGUUCUAAAUAACCUUUGCCAUUGGCCUUUUAUCUGCUCAGGUCAGAGAUGCAUCUGGUUGGACUUUCUUUACUACUAUGGUUAAUGGAUCCAUCUCUGUGGUGGUCCUGAGUCAUUGGUGUGGUGCCAACACCAUAUUUGUCUCAACUAAAUUAAGGUUUCUAAUGGCUUGAGGCAAAAUCUUUGUCUAUGAAAGAUAUUGGAUUUUGAGAGUGCUCAAAACUGUGCCUUCAAAAUACCAUUUUUCCUUUCAAUCAACCCUGUUGCUUGGGGGAGUAUACAGUAAGUGAAAUACCCAAUCUAUGUCCCUUUCAUGCAUCCAGUCUUGGACACCAUGUCUGGUGAAAUGCAUGCCUCGAUUGCUAUCAAUAUGUGGAGGGUAUCCAUACAUGACACUGAGUUGCUCCAAGCCCCUGAUGGUGGCUGUUUGGUUUGCUCUUACAAGGGAAAGCUUGCAACAAUCCCAUGGCAGUGUAUACACAUGUUAGUGCAUACUUUCGUCUCAAGAUUACUGGCAGGGGUCUGAUGUAGUCUAUCUACCAGUCUGUCACAGGGGUGGCUGUCUUAUGUAUAUGUCCAGGUGUAUGUGGGAUGUGGCAGAGGUACAGACGGGAACAAAUUAAGCAGUUUGCUACCGCCACCACUAAAUCUGCAUAGCAGAGAGCCAAUCCUGCUCCCUUUGCUAUUUGGCAGCCCAUUCAUGCACUGAAAUCCCCACUGUGAUAUGUACCUAAUCAACUAGCUCAGUAUUCUAAUUUUUGCUAGGAUGUCUGCCUCCAUGUUUCUGGGAGGUGAAUCUGACCAGUGUGCUGAAGCAAUUAGGUCCACAGUGGGUUCCUGUAGACUUUUCCAAAUGUCUUUCCACAUAUCAGCUCCCCAUAAGGAUUUUUAAAUUAUAUACCAAUCAUCUCCGGCCCUUUGGGCAAGCCAAAUUGUAAGACCCUUAAGUACUGCCAGACUGUCUGUACAGAGAACUAUAGGUGGUGGCUCACGGGUACAAACCAACCAUGCAGCUUGGAGUUCUGCCCAUUGACUGCUCUGUUGCAUUCCCAUCUCAAACCAGAUACUGUCUGUGGUUGUGCAGCUACUACUGUCCAUACACAGGGUUACCUUGGCUCAAUGCAUCUAAGUACCAAGCAUUAUCAGGAAUGAGGGCCAUGCCUUCAUGUACCAUUGGAGACAUCUCCUGUGAGGGCUCCACAAUAGGGGCAGCACUGGACUCAUAAUGUACUGGCCCUAAGAUAGCAUGCAGUUCAUCUCGUAAGGGAUGCAUGGAGAAGGCACUAUGUUGUUGCAUGUAUGCAUGGCACUUUUGUAAAGUGGAAACUUGGGCAAUAGCUGAUACAGGCCUGGCAAACACUCCUACCCAGUCCUUGAUAGGAGACCUGUUCUCCCUGGUACCAGGAAAGCAGCAGUUAUCAAUUCAACUUGUGGCAAGACCUUCUAUAUCCCCAGGACCUGUUAUUCAACUGGGAAAUAGCAGGUUUCAGUACCCUUCCAUUAAUUGUGACUAAAAUUCUAAAGGAACUGCUUCCCUAUGCUGGACUUUAUAUUUUCAUCAUCCAAAAUUAUAGUUUAGUUUUACCUUUAAAAAUAUGUUUUUUGUUCUCAUUUGUUCCAUAGGUUUCUCCUUGAAAUUUAUAUUGUAUGGUAAGGUUUCCUAUUGUUUGCAUUUUGUGGAUUGCACGCCAAGGUGUGGUUUAAUGUAUUUCUAUUACCUGUAUUUUCUAUAAAUUGGUAGUUUGGUAUA
Molecule: RNA transcript, 4622 nt
Organism: Pan troglodytes (chimpanzee)
Lineage: Eukaryota; Metazoa; Chordata; Mammalia; Primates; Hominidae
Exons: 7
Source: RefSeq, a predicted model, not a curated record